GAUGAGCGCUGGCGGCGUGCCUAAUACAUGCAAGUCGAGCGAACGGACGAGAAGCUUGCUUCUCUGAUGUUAGCGGCGGACGGGUGAGUAACACGUGGAUAACCUACCUAUAAGACUGGGAUAACUUCGGGAAACCGCAGAUAAUAAUGGAUCAUAUUUUGAACCGCAUGGUUCAAAAGUGCAAGAGGGUCUUGCUGUCACUUAUAGAUGGAUCCGCGCUGCAUUAGCUAGUUGGUAAGGUAACGGCUUACCAAGGCAACGAUGCAUAGCCGACCUGAGAGGGUGAUCGGCCACACUGGAACUGAGACACGGUCCAGACUCCUACGGGAGGCAGCAGUAGGGAAUCUUCCGCAAUGGGCGAAAGCCUGACGGAGCAACGCCGCGUGAGUGAUGAAGGUCUUCGGAUCGUAAAACUCUGUUAUUAGGGAAGAACAUAUGUGUAAGUAACUGUGCACAUCUUGACGGUACCUAAUCAGAAAGCCACGGCUAACUACGUG
Molecule: ribosomal RNA, 497 nt
Filed under: uncultured bacterium
Lineage: Bacteria
Description: partial 16S ribosomal RNA
Rfam family: Bacterial small subunit ribosomal RNA
Source: RNAcentral